RNAcentral lists this ribosomal RNA (492 nucleotides) under uncultured bacterium. Its description in RNAcentral is "partial 16S ribosomal RNA". It matches the Rfam family "Bacterial small subunit ribosomal RNA", at positions 29 to 507 of the family's 1533-position model. The record is from RNAcentral.
AGUGAACGCUGGCGGUAGGCCUAACACAUGCAAGUCGAACGGCAGCACAGUAAGAGCUUGCUCUUACGGGUGGCGAGUGGCGGACGGGUGAGGAAUACAUCGGAAUCUACUUUUUCGUGGGGGAUAACGUAGGGAAACUUACGCUAAUACCGCAUACGACCUACGGGUGAAAGCAGGGGAUCUUCGGACCUUGCGCGAUUGAAUGAGCCGAUGUCGGAUUAGCUAGUUGGCGGGGUAAAGGCCCACCAAGGCGACGAUCCGUAGCUGGUCUGAGAGGAUGAUCAGCCUCACUGGAACUGAGACACGGUCCAGACUCCUACGGGAGGCAGCAGUGGGGAAUAUUGGACAAUGGGCGCAAGCCUGAUCCGGCCAUACCGCGUGGGUGAAGAAGGCCUUCGGGUUGUAAAGCCCUUUUGUUGGGAAAGAAAAGCAGCAGGUUAAUACCCCGCUGUUCUGACGGUACCCAAAGAAUAAGCACCGGCUAACUUCGUG